RNAcentral lists this ribosomal RNA (429 nucleotides) under Pseudomonadota bacterium. RNAcentral describes it as "Proteobacteria bacterium partial 16S ribosomal RNA". It matches the Rfam family "Bacterial small subunit ribosomal RNA", at positions 355 to 776 of the family's 1533-position model. The record is from RNAcentral. Lineage: Bacteria; Pseudomonadati; Pseudomonadota.
UGGGGAAUAUUGGACACUGGGCGAAAGCCUGAUCCAGCCAUGCCGCGUGUGUGAAGAAGGUCUUCGGAUUGUAAAGCACUUUAAGUUGGGAGGAAGGGCAGUAAGCGAAUACCUUGCUGUUUUGACGUUACCGACAGAAUAAGCACCGGCUAACUCUGUGCCAGCAGCCGCGGUAAUACAGAGGGUGCAAGCGUUAAUCGGAAUUACUGGGCGUAAAGCGCGCGUAGGUGGUUCGUUAAGUUGAAUGUGAAAGCCCCGGGCUCAACCUGGGAACUGCAUCCAAAACUGGCGAGCUAGAGUAGGGCAGAGGGUGGUGGAAUUUCCUGUGUAGCGGUGAAAUGCGUAGAUAUAGGAAGGAACACCAGUGGCGAAGGCGACCACCUGGGCUCAUACUGACACUGAGGUGCGAAAGCGUGGGGAGCAAACAGG